Molecule: ribosomal RNA, 708 nt
Filed under: uncultured Staphylococcus sp.
Lineage: Bacteria; Bacillati; Bacillota; Bacilli; Caryophanales; Staphylococcaceae
Description: bacterial SSU rRNA
Rfam family: Bacterial small subunit ribosomal RNA
Source: RNAcentral
AAGUCGAGCGAACAGACGAGGAGCUUGCUCCUCUGACGUUAGCGGCGGACGGGUGAGUAACACGUGGGUAACCUACCUAUAAGACUGGGAUAACUCCGGGAAACCGGGGCUAAUACCGGAUAACACAUGAAACCGCAUGGUUUCAUGAUGAAAGACGGUUUUGCUGUCACUUAUAGAUGGACCCGCGGCGUAUUAGCGUAGUUGGUAAGGUAACGGCUUACCAAGGCAACGAUACGUAGCCGACCUGAGAGGGUGAUCGGCCACACUGGAACUGAGACACGGUCCAGACUCCUACGGGAGGCAGCAGUAGGGAAUCUUCCGCAAUGGGCGAAAGCCUGACGGAGCAACGCCGCGUGAGUGAUGAAGGUCUUCGGAUCGUAAAACUCUGUUAUUAGGGAAGAACAAGGAUGUAAGUAACUGUGCAUCCCUUGACGGUACCUAAUCAGAGAGCCACGGCUAACUACGUGCCAGCAGCCGCGGUAAUACGUAGGUGGCAAGCGUUAUCCGGAAUUAUUGGGCGUAAAGCGCGCGUAGGCGGUUUUUAAGUCUGAUGUGAAAGCCCACGGCUCAACCGUGGAGGGUCAUUGGAAACUGGAAAACUUGAGUGCAGAAGAGGAAAGUGGAAUUCCAUGUGUAGCGGUGAAAUGCGCAGAGAUAUGGAGGAACACCAGUGGCGAAGGCGACUUUCUGGUCUGCAACUGACGCUGA